Trichechus manatus latirostris (Florida manatee) is the source of this 71-nucleotide non-coding RNA. NCBI's taxonomy places the organism in Eukaryota, Metazoa, Chordata, Mammalia, Sirenia, Trichechidae. The record is from the annotation of a RefSeq genome assembly.
GCACUGGUAGUUCAGUGGUAGAAUUCUUACCUUACAUGCAGGAGACCUGGGUUCGAUUCCCGGUCAGUGCA